RNAcentral lists this ribosomal RNA (463 nucleotides) under uncultured bacterium. RNAcentral describes it as "bacterial SSU rRNA". It matches the Rfam family "Bacterial small subunit ribosomal RNA", at positions 338 to 793 of the family's 1533-position model. The record is from RNAcentral.
CCUACGGGCCGCACCAGUGGGGAAUAAUGCACAAUGGGCGCAAGCCUGAUGCAGCCAUGCCGCGUGUAUGAAGAAGGCCCUAGGGUUGUAAAGUACUUUCAGUCGGGAGGAAGGCGUUGAUGCUAAUAUCAUCAGCGAUUGACGUUACCGACAGAAGAAGCUCCGGCUAACUCCGUGCCAGCAGCCGCGGUAAUACGGAGGGUGCAAGCGUUAAUCGGAAUUACUGGGCGUAAAGCGCACGCAGGCGGUUGAUUAAGUUAGAUGUGAAAUCCCCGGGCUUAACCUGGGAAUGGCAUCUAAGACUGGUCAGCUAGAGUCUUGUAGAGGGGGGUAGAAUUCCAUGUGUAGCGGUGAAAUGCGUAGAGAUGUGGAGGAAUACCGGUGGCGAAGGCGGCCCCCUGGACAAAGACUGACGCUCAGGUGCGAAAGCGUGGGGAGCAAACAGGAUUAGAUACCCGCGUAG